ACUCCUACGGGAGGCAGCAGUAGGGAAUCUUCCACAAUGGGCGCAAGCCUGAUGGAGCAACACCGCGUGAGUGAAGAAGGGUUUCGGCUCGUAAAGCUCUGUUGUUAAAGAAGAACACGUAUGAGAGUAACUGUUCAUACGUUGACGGUAUUUAACCAGAAAGUCACGGCUAACUACGCGCCAGCAGCCGCGGUAAUACGUAGGUGGCAAGCGUUAUCCGGAUUUAUUGGGCGUAAAGAGAGUGCAGGCGGUUUUCUAGGUCUGAUGUGAAAGCCUUCGGCUUAACCGGAGAAGUGCAUCGGAAACUGGAUAACUUGAGUGCAGAAGAGGGUAGUGGAACUCCAUGUGUAGCGGUGGAAUGCGUAGAUAUAUGGAAGAACACCAGUGGCGAAGGCGGCUACCUGGUCUGCAACUGACGCUGAGACUCGAAAGCAUGGGUAGCGAACAGGAUUAGAUACCCUGGUAGGAUAGCG
This 473-nucleotide ribosomal RNA is filed under the name uncultured bacterium. Its description in RNAcentral is "bacterial SSU rRNA". It matches the Rfam family "Bacterial small subunit ribosomal RNA", at positions 335 to 801 of the family's 1533-position model. The record is from RNAcentral.